Molecule: ribosomal RNA, 460 nt
Filed under: uncultured Burkholderiales bacterium
Lineage: Bacteria; Pseudomonadati; Pseudomonadota; Betaproteobacteria; Burkholderiales
Description: bacterial SSU rRNA
Rfam family: Bacterial small subunit ribosomal RNA
Source: RNAcentral
UAACGCGGGGCAACCUGGCGACGAGUGGCGAACGGGUGAGUAAUACAUCGGAACGUGCCCAGUAGUGGGGGAUAGCCCGGCGAAAGCCGGAUUAAUACCGCAUACGACCUACGGGUGAAAGCGGGGGACCGCAAGGCCUCGCGCUAUUGGAGCGGCCGAUGUCAGAUUAGCUAGUUGGUGGGGUAAAAGCCUACCAAGGCGACGAUCUGUAGCUGGUCUGAGAGGACGACCAGCCACACUGGGACUGAGACACGGCCCAGACUCCUACGGGAGGCAGCAGUGGGGAAUUUUGGACAAUGGGGGCAACCCUGAUCCAGCCAUGCCGCGUGCGGGAAGAAGGCCUUCGGGUUGUAAACCGCUUUUGUCGGGGAAGGAACGGUCUGCGCUAAUACCGCGGACUAAUGACGGUACCCGAAGAAUAAGCACCGGCUAACUACGUGCCAGCAGCCGCGGUAAUAAU